Cyprinus carpio (common carp) is the source of this 937-nucleotide long non-coding RNA. Lineage: Eukaryota; Metazoa; Chordata; Actinopteri; Cypriniformes; Cyprinidae. The record is from Ensembl.
AUGCUGAAGAUGUCUCUGAGACUCCCCCGGGGCCUUCAAAUAAGCACCAGCGGGAGAUCAUUUGUUUAUGCAUCUCAACAGGUCCAAGGCCAGCGGUUUAACAUACGCUUCUGGCAUGUGUGUGCUGAGAUGCUGGACCAGAGGAGGACAGACAUGCUGUCUCUCCACUACUCACAGUUUGCAUUUAUGCUGUCAAUGUACCAGACCAGGCAAUCUGAACAAGUUUUUCUGAAAACAGUGUAUCCGGAGUGUAAAAGGGAUCAACAAGUAUAUGGACAAAUCCACAACAAUGUUAGCCAUGCCCAGCAAAUCUGCAUUCAUGCUCUCAACAUACCAGACUGGCCCUGUGGCGAUUGUAACUGAGAACAGAAUGUUCCUGCUACACGGAUUAGUCGACUUGACAAUUUCAGGGAAUGAAAUCCACAACAAUGUUAGCCAUGCCCAGCAAAUCUGCAUUCAUGCUCUCAACACACCAGACUGGCCCUGUGGCGAUUGUAACUGAGAACAGAAUGUUCCUGCUACACGGAUUAGUCGACUUGACAAUUUCAGGGAAUGCCAUUUUAACCACAAAAUAAUAUUAAUCGUCUUUACUCCACUCCUCUCUGUAUUUCCUCAGCUCUUUUACUUCCUUCUGUAACUGAGUUUUCUCCUGCUCCAAGCAUUGCAUUCUGUGUUGUGCUUGUCCAGCUCCCUUAGAAGAAAGUCUACUUGAAGAGCCAUUUCAUCAUCUACAUUUUCAAAAUCAUUUGUUGUUGAUUUGUGUGUGUGAUUAUUUCUGCAGUGUUACUCAUCUUGCAUUUCACAUCAGUAACGCUCUGUUCCCUUCCUUUAGCAUCAUUCUCAAUCAAGCCACAGCCCAGAUAGGAGCGUCUCCGUGGAGAGACAGGUGAUGUGUGUGUGUGUGUGUGUGUUUUAUAUAUAUAGAUAUGAUCUGAAG